GAUGAACGCUAGCUACAGGCUUAACACAUGCAAGUCGAGGGGAAACGAUAUUGGAAGCUUGCUUCCGAUAGGCGUCGACCGGCGCACGGGUGAGUAACGCGUAUCCAACCUGCCCACCACUUGGGGAUAACCUUGCGAAAGUAAGACUAAUACCCAAUGACGUCUCUAGAAGACAUCUGAAAGAGAUUAACGAUUUAUCGGUGAUGGAUGGGGAUGCGUCUGAUUAGCUUGUUGGCGGGGUAACGGCCCACCAAGGCUACGAUCAGUAGGGGUUCUGAGAGGAAGGUCCCCCACAUUGGAACUGAGACACGGUCCAAACUCCUACGGGAGGCAGCAGUGAGGAAUAUUGGUCAAUGGGCGAGAGCCUGAACCAGCCAAGUAGCGUGCAGGAUGACGGCCCUAUGGGUUGUAAACUGCUUUUAUAAGGGAAUAAGGUGAGUCUCGUGAGACUUUUUGCAUGUACCUUAUGAAUAAGGACCGGCUAAUUCCGUGCCAGCCGCCGCGGUAA
This 508-nucleotide ribosomal RNA is filed under the name uncultured bacterium. RNAcentral describes it as "partial 16S ribosomal RNA". It matches the Rfam family "Bacterial small subunit ribosomal RNA", at positions 28 to 523 of the family's 1533-position model. The record is from RNAcentral.